RNAcentral lists this ribosomal RNA (549 nucleotides) under Acantharia sp. JD-2012. Its description in RNAcentral is "eukaryotic LSU rRNA". It matches the Rfam family "Eukaryotic large subunit ribosomal RNA", at positions 61 to 617 of the family's 3401-position model. The record is from RNAcentral. Lineage: Eukaryota; Acantharea.
GAAAAUAACUAUGAUUCCCUUAGUAGUGGCGAAUGAACAGGGAUCAGAUCAAGCCUUUAAUCCUUCUCUUCUGAGACAGGAAUUGUGGUCUACCCUCCUUUGACCUGCACCGUCCUCCCGACUAGUUCUUAUUGAGAUAUAGUGUCACAGAGGGUUAUAACCCCGUCUGUUGGGAUUGUGUGUGCGUUCGGUCGGGUGAGUGUGAGUCGUGUUGCUUGGGACUGCAGCACUAAUUGGGAGGUAAUGUCCUUCUAAAUCUAAAUAUUACGAAGAGACCGAUAGCGAACAAGUACCGUGAGGGAAAGAUGAAAAGGAAUUUGAAAAGAAUGUGAAAAGUACGUGAAAUCGUUAGGUGAAAGCGAAUAGCAUACCCUUAGCGUGUGCCUUCUGUUUGUUACGGUUGGUUUUUCACUUUCCCAGUGUCUUCCUUCCACGCAAUCAUUCGGCAGAGGAUUAGAUCGUAGUUUCUCGGUGUUGCGUUGUGUGUCGACUUUCUUGGACUAUCGCCACGGUGAUACCCUUGAUUGUUUGCUCCUUCUCUCUCCGUUU